GCGGCAGCUAUAAUGCAGUCGAGCGGACAGAUGGGAGCUUGCUCCCUGAUGUUAGCGGCGGACGGGUGAGUAACACGUGGGUAACCUGCCUGUAAGACUGGGAUAACUCCGGGAAACCGGGGCUAAUACCGGAUGGUUGUUUGAACCGCAUGGUUCAAACAUAAAAGGUGGCUUCGGCUACCACUUACAGAUGGACCCGCGGCGCAUUAGCUAGUUGGUGAGGUAACGGCUCACCAAGGCAACGAUGCGUAGCCGACCUGAGAGGGUGAUCGGCCACACUGGGACUGAGACACGGCCCAGACUCCUACGGGAGGCAGCAGUAGGGAAUCUUCCGCAAUGGACGAAAGUCUGACGGAGCAACGCCGCGUGAGUGAUGAAGGUUUUCGGAUCGUAAAGCUCUGUUGUUAGGGAAGAACAAGUACCGUUCGAAUAGGGCGGUACCUUGACGGUACCUAACCAGAAAGCCACGGCUAACUACGUGCCAGCAGCCGCGGUAAUACGUAGGUGGCAAGCGUUGUCCGGAAUUAUUGGGCGUAAAGGGCUCGCAGGCGGUUUCUUAAGUCUGAUGUGAAAGCCCCCGGCUCAACCGGGGAGGGUCAUUGGAAACUGGGGAACUUGAGUGCAGAAGAGGAGAGUGGAAUUCCACGUGUAGCGGUGAAAUGCGUAGAGAUGUGGAGGAACACCAGUGGCGAAGGCGACUCUCUGGUCUGUAACUGACGCUGAGGAGCGAAAGCGUGGGGAGCGAACAGGAUUAGAUACCCUGGUAGUCCACGCCGUAAACGAUGAGUGCUAAGUGUUAGGGGGUUUCCGCCCCUUAGUGCUGCAGCUAACGCAUUAAGCACUCCGCCUGGGGAGUACGGUCGCAAGACUGAAACUCAAAGGAAUUGACGGGGGCCCGCACAAGCGGUGGAGCAUGUGGUUUAAUUCGAAGCAACGCGAAGAACCUUACCAGGUCUGACAUCCUCUGACAUCCUAGAGAUAGGACGUCCCCUUCGGGGCAGAGUGACAGGUGGUGCAUGGUGUCGUCAGCUCGUGUCGUGAGAUGUUGGGUUAAGUCCCGCAACGAGCGCAACCCUUGAUCUUAGUUGCCAGCAUUCAGUUGGGCACUCUAAGGUGACUGCCGGUGACAAACCGGAGGAAGGUGGGGAUGACGUCAAAUCAUCAUGCCCCUUAUGACCUGGGCUACACACGUGCUACAAUGGACAGAACAAAGGGCAGCGAAACCGCGAGGU
Molecule: ribosomal RNA, 1232 nt
Filed under: Bacillus subtilis
Lineage: Bacteria; Bacillati; Bacillota; Bacilli; Caryophanales; Bacillaceae
Description: bacterial SSU rRNA
Rfam family: Bacterial small subunit ribosomal RNA
Source: RNAcentral